GAGAGGGCUGUCCCUGCCCGCACUAGCGGGGGCUGCAGGGCAAUGCGGGGGGCACGGCCGGGAAUAGGGGUAGCGCGGAGAUGCAGCGGGUACCGGCAGCACUGGGAACGGGCGGCCGGAUGGCCGCAUUCUCGCUCGCCUGAGAUUUUAAGGAUCCGAAGGCCUCAACAGGGCUCAGUUGCAAUGAGCGCUAUACGCUGGAUAAGAAGAGACAGCCCCGGCCUCUGAGAGCUUGUAAUGCUAACACCCUAUGUGCUUCAGCUCCCAGAAAGGGGAACAUGGAGAAAAAAGUCUUCAGAUGAUUGCCUUAAACACUUAUGAAGAAAAGGAGCCCUAUGCUAUUGCAGAAGAAAGGAAGGCAAGAGUGAGAGGGAGAGAAGAAGACCAGUGAGUAACAUUCAAGUCCGAAAGCUUCUGGUUACCUCCCCUGGAGUAAAAAUGUGGAUUUCUUCUCUCCAUUCCUCCUGUAAAAGCUAGAGGAGGAGGAACACUUUGUAAGUGGUAGGUUUAGGGAAGACUCUUUGCAGUUAGUGGCCCCCAUGAAAAUCCUUCCCCUUCCAGACUAUCAGCCAGUUAGGCCUCACAGCUCUUUAUUUUGCACAAAUAUUCAGUACUUCUGGUUGGCAUAGCUGCACUGAAACAGUACUUUGCAGCAGAUCCUAAAUUGUUUGUGGGGUUUGAGGUGAGGGAAUUAGCCAGUGGAGGCAUGUUUGGAUGCAUAAGGAAAAAAAACAAACAAAAGAAACAUAAAACUAUCCUACUGAGCUGUGUGGCAUUUCCCCAUUCCAAAUAAUUCCUGGCAUUUCAAGCAGACAUUUCUAUUUAAUAAACCAAGAGGCAUAAAAAUCACAGCAGCUAGCAACCUAGCAGGAGCUUAGUGUUAAGAAAUAAGAAAGGCUAUUUAAAAGUGCUGACCAAAAGGCAGGAAUUGACAGCCACAUUGUCCAGGAGUCCAGUUUUCCAACUACCACCAAAACUUGCAAUAAUUCCUACCAGAAUAACACUGGAUGAUGAAUAGAUAGUUCACAAAGAGCAGUAAAACAUAAUGAGACAUCUGAGGCUACCUUUUCUUAAAGGUGUGGGACAAGAAGGAGUCUAAAUAUCUUAAAAUUGGAAUAACGAAGUGAUAGAUCCAUGAGAGCAGAUCCUAGGUGACAGACAACUGUCAGAAAAUAGAAUCCCCGUAGUGGGUUACUUGGAGGUUCUUUCUUUCAGUGCAUGGAAGGCACAGAGCAGUGAGUUAUCCAGGCAGUGUCUGUGCUGCAAGACUUCUCCCUGAAAGGUUAAUUUGGUUAGAGGUGCAAUUUUUAUCCAGCAGAGGUGUGCCAGCAGAGGCCUUUAAUGUAGAUGCAGUUCGUAUUGACAGAAUUUUGGUUUUAGCAUCACAUUUUUCUCCAUGGUGUGGAGUAAUUUCGUUAUGCUGGAUCAAAGAUCAGACCCAGUGGUCCAGCUACAUCUGCUCAGCCACUGUGUCAGUGCAAUGUGCUGAGCCCCAUGCCAAACUGGACAGCAGCGUGCAGAAGGCUCCCACCUCCUCUUUGCCAACAACUGAGCUGUGAUUGCUGUUUUACCAAAAAAGUUCUGCAAAUGGAGAGCAUGUUUUACUGUUUCUUAGGCUCAACCACUGCAUCUUAUGCCUCAAGCAGCCUUUGGAGCCUGUGUCUAACAGUGCAAGAGUAACCAGCUAUCUAAUCCUCUAGGAAGUGAUUAUCCAGAGCAGAGAAAGUGUCUUGAAAAUUUACUUAUUAUCAAGGAUUUUUUGCAAUGAGUUUCACGGUUUUGCAGAGAAAAUAAUAAAUUAAUUGCCUAUUUUUCCUUUUAUUGCAAAAUACGUGCCUAACAAAGCAUGGCGAAGAACAAAAAGGUGAUUCUCAGCUUUAGAAUAAACUGCUUAGUUAUACCUUUAAUAUAUAACUUCAGUGUUCCUUAUUUAAGAAAGUAUAUGAGAAAUUUAAUUCUCAAGGUGUGUGUGAAUUAAUUUGCAAAUUAUUUUUUUUUAAUCCAACCUUGUAGUUCUUUUUUGUGUGAAGUGUGUUAAUGUCAUUUACAUAAGAUCAAAUGUAAAUUUAUUUGAGUGAUAUUUAGGAUAACUACAGUAACACAGUAAUUUGAAUUUGCAGUAUCUUGGCUUGUGUAUUUAUAUGUGAUCUAUUAUCUUAGCUAACAUACAUUCAUGUAAAUGGAAUGGCCACACAAUGACAAGCUUACAAAGGCAAAUUAAUAUAUUAUCCCUGUGGACCGCGGACUUUCAAUCCUUUUGAAAUUACAUCACCAUAUGACAUGUGACCUCACCACAAGGACUAAAGGAGUCUCCUACCAGCCAUAAAGAUUUAUGCAACAUUGCUAGUCAAAUGCAUUAGCACCUUUUGUGUGCUAACUCCCCACCUCAGACAAAAACCUGUUUAUACGACUCUGGAGUCAAGUGGUAGCAAAAGAGUAUGCUUCUCCAUCCCCAAAGUGUGCUGUAUUAAAAGCAAACGUUUAUUGUUACAGCAAUAUUACAGAGUUUGAAAACCCCAGUCACUAAUGUUUCUCUCAAAGUGUUAACUCAGCCAUGCUGUGUAUUUUUUCUAUUUUCUGGUCUAAAAUAAAAUGCAAACCCCGUUUUUACUCA
Long non-coding RNA from Strigops habroptila (Kakapo), 2614 nucleotides. RefSeq lists it as uncharacterized. The transcript is spliced from 3 exons. The record is from RefSeq and is a predicted model, not a curated record. NCBI's taxonomy places the organism in Eukaryota, Metazoa, Chordata, Aves, Psittaciformes, Psittacidae.